GAAACGCGAUAGUUAAUGUGAAUUGCAGAAUUCAGUGAAUCAUCGAGUCUUUGAACGCACAUUGCGCCCAUAGGUAUUCCUUUGGGCAUGUCUGUUUGAGCGUCAUUACAACCCUCAGCUAACCGCUGGUUUUGAACCUGAACGGGUGACACCGCGCCGGUUUUAAAGUUGUAAGCUCUGCUGGCCACUCUGCCCAACCAGAACAUAGUAAGCACUACUUGUCCGGGUGAAGCUGAACGGUACGGCCUGAACAAAACCUACCCACUCUCAAGGUUUGACCUCAGAUCAGACAAGGAUACCCGCUGAACUUAAGC
This 314-nucleotide unclassified non-coding RNA is filed under the name plant metagenome. RNAcentral's name for it is "partial contains 5.8S ribosomal RNA, internal transcribed spacer 2, and large subunit ribosomal RNA". The stretch from base 1 to 105 matches the Rfam family "5.8S ribosomal RNA", at positions 50 to 154 of the family's 154-position model. The record is from RNAcentral.